Molecule: ribosomal RNA, 550 nt
Filed under: uncultured Funneliformis
Lineage: Eukaryota; Fungi; Glomeromycota; Glomeromycetes; Glomerales; Glomeraceae
Description: SSU rRNA
Rfam family: Eukaryotic small subunit ribosomal RNA
Source: RNAcentral
UUGGAGGGCAAGUCUGGUGCCAGCAGCCGCGGUAAUUCCAGCUCCAAUAGCGUAUAUUAAAGUUGUUGCAGUUAAAAAGCUCGUAGUUGAAUUUCGGGAUCAAUAUUUCGGUCAUGCCGUUGGUAUGCACUGUUAUCAUUGAUUUCUCACCUUCUAAGGAACCGUAAUGCCAUUAAUUUGGUGUUACGGGGAAUUAGGACUGUUACCUUGAAAAAAUUAGAGUGUUUAAAGCAGGCUCACGCUUGAAUACAUUAGCAUGGAAUAAUGAAAUAGGACAUCCGAUUCUAUUUUGUUGGUUUCUAGGAUCGAUGUAAUGAUUAAUAGGGAUAGUUGGGGGCAUUAGUAUUCAAUUGUCAGAGGUGAAAUUCUUGGAUUUAUUGAAGACUAACUACUGCGAAAGCAUUUGCCAAGGAUGUUUUCAUUAAUCAAGAACGAAAGUUAGGGGAUCGAAGACGAUCAGAUACCGUCGUAGUCUUAACCAUAAACUAUGCCGACUAGGGAUCGGAUGAUGUUAAUUUUUUAAUGACUCAUUCGGCGCCUUACGGGAAAC